UACGAAGGGGGCUAGCGUUGCUCGGAAUCACUGGGCGUAAAGGGUGCGUAGGCGGGUCUUUAAGUCAGGGGUGAAAUCCUGGAGCUCAACUCCAGAACUGCCUUUGAUACUGAAGAUCUUGAGUCCGGGAGAGGUGAGUGGAACUGCGAGUGUAGAGGUGAAAUUCGUAGGUAUUCGCAAGAACACCAGUGGCGAAGGCGGCUCACUGGCCCGGUACUGACGCUGAGGAGCGAAAGCCAGGGGAGCAAACGGG
Molecule: ribosomal RNA, 253 nt
Filed under: uncultured bacterium
Lineage: Bacteria
Description: partial 16S ribosomal RNA
Rfam family: Bacterial small subunit ribosomal RNA
Source: RNAcentral